GAUGAACGCUGGCGGCGUGCCUAAUACAUGCAAGUCGAGCGAACAGACGAGGAGCUUGCUCCUUCGACGUUAGCGGCGGACGGGUGAGUAACACGUAGGUAACCUACCUAUAAGACUGGGAUAACUUCGGGAAACCGGAGAUAAUACCGGAUAAUAUUUCGAACCGCAUGGUUCGAUAGUGAAAGAUGGCUUUGCUAUCACUUAUAGAUGGACCUGCGCCGUAUUAGCUAGUUGGUAAGGUAACGGCUUACCAAGGCAACGAUACGUAGCCGACCUGAGAGGAUGAUCAGCCACACUGGAACUGAGACACGGUCCAGACUCCUACGGGAGGCAGCAGUAGGGAAUCUUCCGCAAUGGGCGAAAGCCUGACGGAGCAACGCCGCGUGAGUGAUGAAGGUCUUCGGAUCGUAAAACUCUGUUAUUAGGGAAGAACAAACGUGUAAGUAACUGUGCACGUCUUGACGGUACCUAAUCAGAAAGCCACGGCUAACUACGUG
This 497-nucleotide ribosomal RNA is filed under the name uncultured bacterium. RNAcentral describes it as "partial 16S ribosomal RNA". It matches the Rfam family "Bacterial small subunit ribosomal RNA", at positions 28 to 507 of the family's 1533-position model. The record is from RNAcentral.